GUGUGUAUUAAUUUUUUCUUUGGUGAAAACAAUUUCCUUGGAACCUAACCCCCCCCAUUUACAUUAAUUCUUAUGGGGAAAUCGGAUUUGCUUAACAUCCACUUCACUGAAAGUCACAUUUUUCAGGAACACAACUACAACGUUAAGUGAGGAGUUACUGUAGU
Long non-coding RNA from Gopherus evgoodei (Goodes thornscrub tortoise), 164 nucleotides. RefSeq lists it as uncharacterized. The record is from RefSeq and is a predicted model, not a curated record. The transcript is spliced from 3 exons. Lineage: Eukaryota; Metazoa; Chordata; Testudines; Testudinidae.